GUUAUAGCGCCUGAUGAGACGCUCAUCAGAUCCAAGAAAAGGUUUUGGUUGCUACAGACAGCAGGACGAUGGCCAUGGAAGUCGGAACCCUCUAAGGAGUAUGUAACAACUCACCUGAGCUACUUGCCUUUUUUCAACUGAAACCUUCAGUACGUGC
Molecule: non-coding RNA, 157 nt
Filed under: Hypsibius dujardini
Lineage: Eukaryota; Metazoa; Tardigrada; Eutardigrada; Parachela; Hypsibiidae
Description: Eukaryotic large subunit ribosomal RNA
Rfam family: Eukaryotic large subunit ribosomal RNA
Source: Rfam by way of RNAcentral